CGGGUGUGUCAUUCGUGAAUAACGUAAAGGAUAAAUAAUGAUACUACUUUACUAUUAGUGUCGUCUAAAGCUGGUGCCAGAAGACUCGGUAAGGCCAGAGACGCAAGCGUUAAUUUCAAUAAACAGGCGUAAAGGGUACGUAGGCGGCUUUAUAACAAUAAUACAUAGAGCUAGAAUCAUAUAUGGGUGGUCGUCCAGAGAACUCGAUGAGUGUAGGGCUGAAAUCUGCAAAUACCGGGAGGAAAGCUAAUUAGUGAAAGCACUUUUCCAAAUUUUGAUUGACGCUGAGAGAACGAAGGUGAGGUAAGGUAAUAGGAUUAGAUACCCUGGUACCCCUUUUUCUGUCAACGAUGAAUGGCAAUCGUUAGAUCUUCGUAGAGGUUUAGCGGUGAAGUAAACACGUUAACCAUUCCGCCUUGUGACUACAGUCGCAAGAUUGAAAACAAAAAAAUUAGUCGGUUUCGGAGCAAACGAAGUGAAGCAUGUUAUUUA
This 492-nucleotide ribosomal RNA is filed under the name Schildia sancti-luxurii. Its description in RNAcentral is "partial 12S small subunit ribosomal RNA". It matches the Rfam family "Bacterial small subunit ribosomal RNA", at positions 401 to 948 of the family's 1533-position model. Lineage: Eukaryota; Fungi; Basidiomycota; Agaricomycetes; Cantharellales. The record is from RNAcentral.